GAUGAACGCUGGCGGCGUGCCUAAUACAUGCAAGUCGAGCGAACAGAUGAGGAGCUUGCUCCUCUGACGUUAGCGGCGGACGGGUGAGUAACACGUGGAUAACCUACCUAUAAGACUGGGAUAACUUCGGGAAACCGGAGCUAAUACCGGAUAAUAUAUUGAACCGCAUGGUUCAAUAGUGAAAGACGGUUUUGCUGUCACUUAUAGAUGGAUCCGCGCCGCAUUAGCUAGUUGGUAAGGUAACGGCUUACCAAGGCAACGAUGCGUAGCCGACCUGAGAGGGGGGUAGGCCACCGGAGAACUGAGCCCGGGACAAGACUCCUGGGGGGGGCGGCAGAGGGGAAUGUGGGGCAAUGGGCGAAAGCCUGACAGAACAAGGCGGAGAGAGAGACAAGGGUGUCGGAAUCGGAAAACUGUGUUAUGAGGGAAAAACAAAUGUGAAAGAAAACAUGCGCGUUGUGACGGUACCUAAGAAAAAAGCACCGGUUAACUACGUG
Molecule: ribosomal RNA, 497 nt
Filed under: uncultured bacterium
Lineage: Bacteria
Description: partial 16S ribosomal RNA
Rfam family: Bacterial small subunit ribosomal RNA
Source: RNAcentral